AUUGAACGCUGGCGGCAGGCCUAACACAUGCAAGUCGAGCGGAUGAAGGGAGCUUGCUCCUGGAUUCAGCGGCGGACGGGUGAGUAAUGCCUAGGAAUCUGCCUGGUAGUGGGGGAUAACGUCCGGAAACGGGCGCUAAUACCGCAUACGUCCUGUUGGAGAAAGUGGGGGAUCUUCGGACCUCACGCUAUCAGAUGAGCCUAGGUCGGAUUAGCUAGUUGGUGGGGUAAACGCCUACCAAGGCGACGAUCCGUAACUGGUCUGAGAGGAUGAUCAGUCACACUGGAACUGAGACACGGUCCAGACUCCGACGGGAGGCAGCAGUGGGGAAUAUUAGACAAUGGGCGAAAGCCUGAUCCAGCGAAGCGGCGUGUGUGAAGAAGGUCUUCGGAUUGUAAAGCACUGUAAGUUGUGAGAAAGGGCAGUAAUUUAAUACCUUGCUGUUUUGACGUUACCAACAGAAGAAGCCCCGGCUAACUUCGUG
Molecule: ribosomal RNA, 484 nt
Filed under: uncultured bacterium
Lineage: Bacteria
Description: partial 16S ribosomal RNA
Rfam family: Bacterial small subunit ribosomal RNA
Source: RNAcentral